This 378-nucleotide ribosomal RNA is filed under the name uncultured bacterium. RNAcentral's name for it is "bacterial SSU rRNA". It matches the Rfam family "Bacterial small subunit ribosomal RNA", at positions 28 to 407 of the family's 1533-position model. The record is from RNAcentral.
GACGAACGCUGGCGGCGUGCUUAACACAUGCAAGUCGAGCGGUAAGGCCCUUUCGGGGGUACACGAGCGGCGAACGGGUGAGUAACACGUGGGUGACCUGCCCUUAGCUCUGGGAUAAGCCUGGGAAACUGGGUCUAAUACCGGAUAUGACUCCAUGACGCAUGUUGUGGGGUGGAAAGCCUUGUGCGGCUAGGGAUGGGCCCGCGGCCUAUCAGCUUGUUGGGUGGGGUGAUGGCCACCAAGGCGACGACGGGUAGCCGGCCUGAGAGGGCGACCGGCCACACUGGGACUGAGACACGGCCCAGACUCCUACGGGAGGCAGCAGUGGGGAAUCUUGCGCAAUGGGCGAAAGCCUGACGCAGCGACGCCGCGUGGGGA